This 220-nucleotide ribosomal RNA is filed under the name uncultured Glomus. Its description in RNAcentral is "partial small subunit ribosomal RNA". It matches the Rfam family "Eukaryotic small subunit ribosomal RNA", at positions 591 to 815 of the family's 1831-position model. The record is from RNAcentral. Lineage: Eukaryota; Fungi; Glomeromycota; Glomeromycetes; Glomerales; Glomeraceae.
CCAAUAGCGUAUAUUAAAGUUGUUGCAGUUAAAAAGCUCGUAGUUGAAUUUCGGAAUCAAUGGAUCGGUCAUGCCAAUCGGUGUGUACUGGUUUAAUUGGUUCUCACCUUCUAAGGAACUGUGAUGCCAUUAAUUUGGUGUCGUAGGAAAUUAGGACUGUUACCUUGAAAAAAUUAGAGUGUUUAAAGCAAGCUUACGCUUGAAUACAUUAGCAUGGAAU